This 69-nucleotide transfer RNA is filed under the name Mesocricetus auratus (golden hamster). It matches the Rfam family "tRNA". Rfam says of the family: Transfer RNA (tRNA) molecules are approximately 80 nucleotides in length. Lineage: Eukaryota; Metazoa; Chordata; Mammalia; Rodentia; Cricetidae. The record is from Rfam by way of RNAcentral.
GGAGAGAUGGCUCAGUGGUUAAGAGCACUGACUGUUCUAGAAGACCUGGGUUCAACUCCCAGCACCCCA